Molecule: unclassified non-coding RNA, 153 nt
Filed under: uncultured Sordariomycetes
Lineage: Eukaryota; Fungi; Ascomycota; Sordariomycetes
Description: sequence contains ITS2
Source: RNAcentral
CAACCCUCAAGCCCGGCUUGGUGUUGGGGCCCUACGGCUGCCGUAGGCCCUGAAAGGAAGUGGCGGGCUCGCUACAACUCCGAGCGUAGUAAUCUAUUAUCUCGCUAGGGAGGUUGCGGCGGCCCCUGCCGUUAAAGACCAUCUUUAACCAAA